AAUAAAAAAGGCUUGGAAGAAGGUCCAAUCUUGAGUCGGAGAGGUCAGAAAUAGGAUCCUAUGCCCGGAUACGCUGGAGUAAGGCCGGAGAGGCCUCAAAACCAUGGAUAUGAGAAGAUCUGAACAAACAUCAUUGAGGUCAGACCUCGAAACUUCAAACGCCCAAGGCUUAAGGUGGAGAGGGGUGAGUACAGGCCAUCCAUGGCCUGAGGAGCAAUGGAUUCCAGUGAAAGUGCGGUUGAAAGGGGUAUAAGAUGGCUAGAGUUCCGAAUAACCUUCGAGAGUGUUUUGAGAGAUGAGAGUAUUCAGAGGCAAC
Molecule: long non-coding RNA, 316 nt
Filed under: Nicotiana benthamiana
Lineage: Eukaryota; Viridiplantae; Streptophyta; Magnoliopsida; Solanales; Solanaceae
Description: long non-coding RNA (NBEN_LNC020976)
Source: RNAcentral